UCUAAUAGUUUUGACCUCAUUAUUGUCAUAAAAUCAUUUAUCACACACCCGUGCCGAUUUUGCGACUCCGUAAAUAUGGUAUUGCACGGCCAUGCAUAUAUUUUGACGUGAUGUCAUAACAAGCGUGAUAAAAACAUAGUGUAAAGAGCGCUAAAUGUUAGCGUUAAACUAUAGGCGCGACAAUGAAAUAUGACUCUUAUUUCACUUUAAACGGUCUUUAUCUUGGGCAUGUGAUAAAUAGAAUAUUAAAUUCAUGUAAGUUCCAUACUGAAUUUAUUGCACUCGUUGAAUAAAAUAAUAUUAUGCUCACCAGAGGCUCGCAUUAUAUAAUUUUAUUCAACUCCUGCAAUAAAUUUAGUAUGGAACUUACACUCAUUCAAUAUCCUCUAUAUAGUAAGACUAAUUUAAAUUAACAGUUUGAUAUAAUAAAGAUAUCAUUAAAUAUCAAAGUUUUUUAAGAAUAUGAAACUUUUAUUUUGAAUACAAUGUAUAACAAGAUUUUUACAUGUCUUUGGUAUCAUCAAUUUCUAAAUUAAUCAAUGAUAUUUUAUUUGUAAAACCAAUUAUAUUUUGAGAAUUUAAUUCUAAAAUCUUAAGAAAUUUUCAACCGAGUAUUAAAUUUAAAAGGAAGAAUAAACUUUUGCUAUGGGAUAAAAGUUAUCUAUUUAUAAAAGGGAUUUUCAUAAAGGGACUGCAUUUUUGUUCAAUUUCAAGUUUUAAAUUGAUUGCAUCUAACAAUUUAUAAAUUUUGCUUUCAAUUACAGUUAACAGAUAUAAAUUGGAGAUUAAAUUUACAAAUGGCCCAAUCAAUAAAUUACCAAAUGCUAUGUUUGAACUUGGUGUCCAUCGUGAAGGGCAGGAAGAUAAAGAAAAGAUACGAAUGGAGUUCACUCAUGAUGAAUUAUAUAGAGGAUAUUGAAUGAGUGUAAGUUCAAUACUAAAUUUAUUGCACAAGUUGAAUAAAACUAUAUUUUGCGAGCCUCUGGCGGGCAAAAUAUUAUUUUAUUGAACGAGUGCAAUAAAUUCAUUAAUGAACUUACACGAAUUUAAUAUUUUAUUUGUCACAUACCAAAAAUAAAGACCGUUUAUAGUGAAAUAAGAGUUAUUUUUCAUUGACGCGCCUAUAGUAUAACGCUUACAUUUAGCGCGUCUUUACACUAUGUUUGUUUAACACUAAUGAUGUCACGUCAAAAUAUAUGCACGGCUGGCAUUACAAAAUUUACGGAGUCGCAAAAUCGGCACGGGUGUGUGAUAAAUCAAUUUUACAACCAGGCACUAUUUAAAAGAAUGAGUUAAUCUGUAUUUAUAUCAAAGUGUAAAAUUUAAGAUAAAAUUGUUACAGGUUUGGUCAGAUUUUUUUUUCUGUUGCCAAAACAAGAAACCUUAUCAGUUACUGGCAGUCAGUUCCUUUGAAACUUGUAGUAACAAACCAGCCCUUGAAAAGUUAAUAAAAUUUGGAAACUAUUCAGAAACAGAUUGAUGGUUUAAGCUGAAAGUUUAAACAAAGAUUAGAGGUAGUCCAGCCAAAGUGUUUUUUCAGUUCAAUGUCUUGUUUGAAAUAAAUGUGGAACAAUGUCAUACAAUGCAUUCCAGACAUUCCAUUUAACUUUUGCAGAAGUAAAAAAUAUAAUGUUUUGGUGUAGUAAGCUAAAAAUUUCUUGUAUUAAAAUACAUUCAAUUAAUUUAAUCAUUUGUAGAAGUUAAAUUAUUUUACAUGUCAGUCAGUAUGCUGAAAUACAUGUAUGAUGUUUAAUUUCACCGUUUUCUGCCCAAAAGUUUGUGUUACUGCUGUCAAGACAUAUAAGUUAUUAAAAUUUUGACAGGUUAUUAGCUUAAGUAUAGUUAUAUAUAAUAUAGUAAAAUAGACAUUUAUACACAGCUAUGUAACAUGUCAUAAUUUCCAUGAGGCAACACAUAUAUGUGAUCACUGAUGUAUUAUAUACAAUAAAUUUUUUAACUGCCCAAUUGUUUUCUUUGAUAAAAGAGCUAAAAAUUUGAUCUUCUAUUUAUUAGGAGUAUUUAAUAUUGUUUUUAAUGAAAUGUUUGUUGCAAUUCAUGAAUUGUAACCAAUGUCCUUUGCAUAUGUUGAUUGCUAGUCAUUUACAUACAUGUGAUUUUAUUGUGUAAACUAUAUGUAAAAACUGUGCAAUAAAUUAUUUUUUAUAAUGCAAA
This is a long non-coding RNA of Ruditapes philippinarum (Manila clam), 2172 nucleotides long. RefSeq lists it as uncharacterized. The transcript has 2 exons. Lineage: Eukaryota; Metazoa; Mollusca; Bivalvia; Venerida; Veneridae. The record is from RefSeq and is a predicted model, not a curated record.